Molecule: non-coding RNA, 1795 nt
Organism: Peromyscus maniculatus bairdii (prairie deer mouse)
Lineage: Eukaryota; Metazoa; Chordata; Mammalia; Rodentia; Cricetidae
Source: RefSeq, a predicted model, not a curated record
CGGGAGUCACAGCCUCCACACUGCUGGGGACCCGGGAGUCACAGCCUCCACACUGCUGGGGACCCAGGAGUCAUAGCCCUCCACACUGCUGGGACCCAGGAGUCAUAGCCCUCCACACUGCUGGGACCCAGGAGUCACAGCCCUCCACACUGCUGGGGACCCAGGAGUCAUAGCCCUCCACACUGCUGGGGACCCAGGAGUCACAGCCCUCCAAGCCCUGCCCAGGAGUCACAGCCCUCCACACUGCUGGGGACCAGGAGUCACAACCCUCCACACUGCUGGGGACCCAGGAGUCAUAGCCUCCACACUGCUGGGGACCCAGGAGUCACAGCCUCCACACUGCUGGGGACCAGGAGUCACAGCCAUCCACACUGCUGGGGACCAGAGUCACAGCCUCCACACUGCUGGGGACCAGAGUCACAGCCCUCCACACUGCUGGGGACCUGGGAGUCACAGCCCUCCACACUGCUGGGGACCAGGAGUCACAGCCUCCACACUGCUGGGGACCCAGGAGUCACAGCCUCCACAUUGCUGGGGACCCAGGAGUCACAGCCUCCACACUGCUGGGGACCCAGGAGUGAUCCCCUGCUUUCUGUCCCCAACUUCCUGGACUUCCCUGUAGCAUGCUGAUGCUUGGCGCUGACUCUAUCACGGCUGCCUUCAAUGACACGCAAGGAGAGUCCCUGCCCAGUCCACCGACUCUCCACUCCUACGGAACUUUUCUGCGAUUACACGGAAAGACAAAACACCAGCAAUGAAUGGGAAACGAGAAAGAACCUUCCAGACACUUGGACAUUUCAGUAACUUCCUGAGUGAUAGUGUUUAAUGUGCUUGAACUCAUCCGGCAUGUGAGAAGUCCUCAUUAAGACUUUCUCCGUUACCUUAAGGCAGAGAAAACAGGAGCUCAUGAAAUUCAACAACAAAAAAUGCUUUCUAAACAAGAAACAAGAUGAGCCAUUGGAUCGACUGGUCUUCACACAAUAUUCCCAGAAAGCCAAGUAUGCAACAACUCACUAAAAAGACAGAGCCCUCAAAGUCACAUUUAGGAAUUGUGCAUAAAUCAUAAUCCACAUCACCAGGACAUUUCCCAUUGGACAGCUUUUCGUGAAAUCUAUCCAGAAAAGUGGAUCAGAGCUCCCUCUCAACGCCUCAGGCAAAUCAUUUCUUUUAAUCAUGCAGGUCUAAGAAGAACCAUUUUAGAAAAAGAUUUAGUCAUGGAGGAGACAGAGACAAGAGGAGUGAUGUCGUACCCCUGACCAUGUGAGAGCUGUCUGACCAGGCCUAAGUUACUGCCAAGUUUACUUCCUGUUUUCUUCUCCCUUCUUCACUACCGGGCUCUUUACUAUGGUGCAUCGUUCAUGGACUCAGCCUAAAACCAGAUAACAUACAUCAGGCAGAGCCUUAACAAAGUUCAGAACAUAAAGUUUCCAGGCGAGUAGAGGAAAUCCAGCUCUUCUGAUCAGACAGCCCAGCACAAUGGAGACAAAACAUGUUCAAUCAGAAACGUAGCUUCUGCCAGACUAUCAAUGUCAACUACCUUAAGAAACCAACACACCAUCCCUCUCAACUUCUGACUAAACCCAGGAUGCUGGAAAGCUGUGCCCUGAAAGUCCGAGAUGCCAAGCAAGUGCCACUUCCCACAGAACAGACUGACUCGCACCGGCCCAUCUAAUUCUGACAUGUCACAGUUCACACGACCCUACUGGUUCGGAAAAGAAUUUUGCUACUACUAUAUGACAAAAGGUUAAAAAAAAACAACAACCCAAAAACAAAAACCAACCAACCAAUGAACAAA